AACGCACAUUGCGCCCGUUAGUAUUCUAGCGGGCAUGCCUGUUCGAGCGUCAUUUACACCCUCAGGAUUUUAUUUCCUGGUGUUGGGGAGCCUGUAGGCAUAGCCUUCAAGUCCCUAAAAGCUAGUGGCGGGUUCUGUCGUACCCCGAGCGUAGUAAUUUUUCUCGUUCAGGGCGUACGGUUGAGUCUAGCCUCGCACUAUUAUAUUCUAAAGUUGACCUCGGAUCAGGUAGGAAUACCCGCUGAACUUAA
This 251-nucleotide unclassified non-coding RNA is filed under the name uncultured fungus. Its description in RNAcentral is "sequence contains ITS2". The record is from RNAcentral. Lineage: Eukaryota; Fungi.